RNAcentral lists this ribosomal RNA (168 nucleotides) under Choerodon typus. RNAcentral describes it as "partial 12S rRNA". The record is from RNAcentral. Lineage: Eukaryota; Metazoa; Chordata; Actinopteri; Labriformes; Labridae.
CACCGCGGUUAUACGAGAGGUCCAAGUUGACAGACAGCGGCGUAAAGUGUGGUUAGGGCAGAACUAAGACUAAAGCCAAAUGCCCACAAAGCUGUUAUACGCACCCGAGGGCCAGAGACCCAACAACGAAAGUGGCUUUAAAUACCUGAACCCACGAAAGCUGCGAAA